AGCAGUCGCCACGGUAAUACGGAGGGGGCUAGCGUUGUUCGGAAUUACUGGGCGUAAAGCGCACGUAGGCGGCUUGGUAAGUUAGAGGUGAAAGCCUGGAGCUCAACUCCAGAAUUGCCUUUAAGACUGCCGAGCUAGCAGGUGAGAGAGGUAAGUGGAAUUCCGAGUGUAGAGGUGAAAUUCGUAGGUAUUCGGAAGAACACCAGUGGCGAAGGCGGCUUACUGGCUCAUACUGGACGCUGAGGUGCGAAAGCGUGGGGAGCAAACAGGAUUAGAUACCCGAGUAGUCCCUGUCUCUUAUAC
This 303-nucleotide ribosomal RNA is filed under the name uncultured bacterium. RNAcentral's name for it is "partial 16S ribosomal RNA". It matches the Rfam family "Bacterial small subunit ribosomal RNA", at positions 507 to 807 of the family's 1533-position model. The record is from RNAcentral.